RNAcentral lists this long non-coding RNA (1046 nucleotides) under Sus scrofa (pig). RNAcentral's name for it is "lncRNA (ENSSSCG00025065009.1)". The record is from RNAcentral. Lineage: Eukaryota; Metazoa; Chordata; Mammalia; Artiodactyla; Suidae.
CCACUGAGCCAAGACAGGAUCUCCGUGAACUGACAGAUUGUUGUUGUUGCUGUUCAUUGUUUGUCUAGACAAGAAAUUUUACUAAAUUAUUUGCUAAAUUUCAUUCCCAUGCCUUAUUGGCUUUAUUUCUUUUGCUUCUUGCUUCAAGAAGAUUUUCCUUCAAGAGUAUUGUACAAUGUGUAUUAGAUGAUCUGAGGCCUAGUAGUCCCAACAUUAUUUUUUUCACUCUAACGUUUAAAAGAUAGUUUAAAAUAUAGCUUUAACUUUUUUCUUUUAAUGCUUCGUAAAUAGUAGUCCAUCGUCUCUUGCGCUCAGGGCUGCUGAUGAAAAGCCUGGGCUAGGUGUGUUGGUCCCCACCUACAGUGUCCAGAGAGUAACUGAGGCCACGCGUGCGAGCAGAUCACCAGCUGGAACGUGAAGAGGGAGAAGAGAAGGAGCCAAGAAGGAACCCUUGAGAAAAGCCAGCAUGUAAGUGGGGGAUGAAAAAGAGGCAUGGGGCGCUGGCUUGAGAAGGAACAGCCACGGAUGGGCAGACACAGCCAGGAGUGUGUGAUGCGACCCAAGAAAGGAGGCCGUUUCCAAAAAGAGAGAAUGAUGAGCAUCACCAAAUAUCCAAGAGGGCAGCCUAUGGACAAGGUCAGCCUUCAUAAGAAUGGAAGUGACUCCGAGAGAAGAGAAACCAAGCAAGGACACAGAAGCUUCAAGACCUGGGUUUGGGCCGUUGCCGAGAACUAGCUGCGUCUUGGCCUUCCCACAACUUUUUGUCCCGUCCUGUUUUGGAUCCUGAGGGAACUAGGAAGGCGGGAGAGUCAGAGAAGACGUGGUGAUGGAAACAGAAGUCGGAAACAGGGAGACUUGAAGCUGCUCCAUUUCUGGCUUUGAGGAUAGAGGAAGAGGCUGCGAGCCAGGGGAGGCCGUGGCCUGCAGAGACCGGAAAAGGCAAGGAAACAGCUUCUCCCCUGGAGCCGCCAAAGGAAACCACCUGUCAACACGACACCUCAGCCCAGGGAAGCCCUCCUCAGACUUCUGACCUCCCCAAUCUCAAG